Molecule: ribosomal RNA, 835 nt
Filed under: uncultured bacterium
Lineage: Bacteria
Description: bacterial SSU rRNA
Rfam family: Bacterial small subunit ribosomal RNA
Source: RNAcentral
CGCGUCUUGGUUAUUGAUGUUGGAUGCUUGCAUUUAACUGAUUUAACAUUGAGACGAGUGGCGAACUGGUGAGUAACACGUGGGUAACCUGCCCUUGAAGUAGGGGAUAACACUUGGAAACAGGUGCUAAUACCGUAUAACAACCAAAACCACCUGGUUUUGGUUUAAAAGAUGGCUUCGGCUAUCACUUUAGGAUGGACCCGCGGCGUAUUAGCUUGUUGGUAAGGUAACGGCCUACCAAGGCAAUGAUACGUAGCCGACCUGAGAGGGUAAUCGGCCACAUUGGGACUGAGACACGGCCCAAACUCCUACGGGAGGCAGCAGUAGGGAAUCUUCCACAAUGGACGAAAGUCUGAUGGAGCAACGCCGCGUGAGUGAUGAAGGGUUUCGGCUCGUAAAACUCUGUUGUUGGAGAAGAACAGGUGUGAGAGUAACUGUUCACAUCUUGACGGUAUCCAACCAGAAAGCCACGGCUAACUACGUGCCAGCAGCCGCGGUAAUACGUAGGUGGCAAGCGUUGUCCGGAUUUAUUGGGCGUAAAGCGAGCGCAGGCGGUUUCUUAGGUCUGAUGUGAAAGCCUUCGGCUUAACCGGAGAAGUGCAUCGGAAACCAGGAGACUUGAGUGCAGAAGAGGACAGUGGAACUCUAUGUGUAGCGGUGAAAUGCGUAGAUAUAUGGAAGAACACCAGUGGCGAAGGCGGCUGUCUGGUCUGUAACUGACGCUGAGGCUCGAAAGCAUGGGUAGCGAACAGGAUUAGAUACCCUGGUAGUCCAUGCCGUACACGAUGAGUGCUAAGUGUUGGAGGGUUUCCGCCCUUCAGUGCUGCAGCUAACG